Molecule: ribosomal RNA, 376 nt
Filed under: uncultured bacterium
Lineage: Bacteria
Description: bacterial SSU rRNA
Rfam family: Bacterial small subunit ribosomal RNA
Source: RNAcentral
AUACAGAGGGUGCGAGCGUUAAUCGGAAUUACUGGGCGUAAAGCGCGCGUAGGCGGCUUCGCAAGUCGGGUGUGAAAUCCCCAGGCUUAACCUGGGAACUGCACUCGAGACUGCGUUGCUAGAGUAUGGGAGAGGGAAGUGGAAUUUCCGGUGUAGCGGUGAAAUGCGUAGAUAUCGGAAGGAACAUCAGUGGCGAAAGCGACUUCCUGGACCAAUACUGACGCUCAUGUGCGAAAGCGUGGGGAGCAAACAGGAUUAGAUACCCUGGUAGUCCACGCCAUAAACGAUGACAACUGGAUGUCGGGAGGGUCUGCCUCUCGGUGUCGUAGCUAACGCGUUAAGUUGUCCGCCUGGGGAGUACGGCCGCAAGGUUGAA